This 254-nucleotide ribosomal RNA is filed under the name uncultured bacterium. RNAcentral's name for it is "partial 16S ribosomal RNA". It matches the Rfam family "Bacterial small subunit ribosomal RNA", at positions 524 to 776 of the family's 1533-position model. The record is from RNAcentral.
UACGGAGGGUGCAAGCGUUGUCCGGAUUCACUGGGUGUAAAGGGCGUGUAGGCGGGAAGAUGUGUCGGAAGUGAAAUCGUGCGGCUUAACCGUAUCAAUUGCUUCCGAAACUGUCUUUCUUGAAUGCGAGAGAGGUAGAUGGAAUUCCAGGUGUAGCGGUGGAAUGCGUAGAUAUCUGGAAGAACACCGGUGGCGAAGGCGGUCUACUGGCUCGUGAUUGACGCUGAGGCGCGAAAGUGCGGGGAGCAAACAGG